This 233-nucleotide RNase P RNA is filed under the name Nitrospira sp. RNAcentral describes it as "partial RNase P RNA component class A". It matches the Rfam family "Bacterial RNase P class A", at positions 1 to 212 of the family's 367-position model. Rfam says of the family: Ribonuclease P (RNase P) is a ubiquitous endoribonuclease, found in archaea, bacteria and eukarya as well as chloroplasts and mitochondria. Its best characterised activity is the generation of mature 5'-ends of tRNAs by cleaving the 5'-leader elements of precursor-tRNAs. Lineage: Bacteria; Pseudomonadati; Nitrospirota; Nitrospiria; Nitrospirales; Nitrospiraceae. The record is from RNAcentral.
GUGGAAGAUUGGAUGGUCGCUCGGUGCCUCGCGCAUCGAGAGGAAAGUCCGGACUCCAUGGGCAGGGCGCUGGGUAACUCCCAGGCGGAGCAAUCCGACACCAGCACCACAGAAAACAAACCGCCGAUGGCCGACGCGACGGGAUCCCAUCUGGUCGCCGAGGCUCAGGUAAGGGUGAAACGGCGGGGUAAGAGCCCACCGCGGUGGUGGCAACAUCACCGGCACGGUAAGCG